Long non-coding RNA from Orcinus orca (killer whale), 4975 nucleotides. RefSeq lists it as uncharacterized. The record is from RefSeq and is a predicted model, not a curated record. Lineage: Eukaryota; Metazoa; Chordata; Mammalia; Artiodactyla; Delphinidae. The transcript is spliced from 2 exons.
CGCGCCCAGGCCGGCGCCUGGCCACCGUCUCCGCCACACCCCCAGGCUUUCCCGGGCCCCAAUAGGCCGUUCCCUCGGCUGCCCCGCCUCCUCCGGCGACUGGCCUUACGUCACUUCCGCCAGCUCUUGGUUUCCCGCUUUUGGGUCCCGAGCGUCUCCGGUGUCACACUAUCAAGGCUCAGUUUUCGAACUUUGUACCAAAGCCUUGUGAGCGGCUUACCUAGAGCCCCGGGCCAGGAGUCAUCAGGUGUGAAGGGGGCACUUCUCUGUGAGGUGUGUGCUUAGGUUUUGUUUAUAUUACACCAUAAGUGGCAAAUAGAGUCAGGGAACUGACUGUGGUUGUUUUGAAGCACUAAGAAUUUUUUCUCUCUCGUCUCUAGUUUGCGUUUCAGUCUCCAUACUUGUCAACAUUGUAGGGAAGUUUAUAAACAGUGCCCUACUGGCCUUAUUUGUUCGGUUUCGAAUCGAACCGUCAAAUAAUUUCGGAGGAGCGGUUGGGGUCCAGAGGAAAUAUGUUAGAGGGCUAAGGUUUUUCAGGGACACCAGCCUUGCCAGUCCAAGCGUGCUUCCCAGAACAGUAGUAGGUGGGAAGAGACAGCUACUCUGAUGCAACUUGGUUUGCGGCACCCUCCUCAAGUGCUCCUUUAAAACUAGGUUUUUUUCUGUGGUUGGCCUUAAAAUCGGGUGUAAGUCAUGGCUUAGUAAACGCCUGGUCUAGUGGAUAGGAUGUUUUAAUUACUAACUAACCAGACAUGCCAAUUUUUAGGAAUAUUUUUACAUUUUAGAAAAUUGUUAUUAAUGAUAACAUAUUCUUUGACCUACUCAUUUUCUUGCUUCCUGAAUUCUAUUCCGACUUGGGUUUCAACCUUAGCCCUGCUACUUCACUAAUUUUGAUUUUAUUUUGGUCUUAGUCUUUUUUCGGAAUCAAGUGUAUAGGGAUAUAUUUGGCCCAAUAGUCUGCCAUCAGUGAAUGUUGGCAGAAUGACUGAAUGACUUCCUGAAUAGUGACUGUAUUUUCUUUUCCCGUUUCAGCCCCUGAAAUCAAGCAAAUAUAUUUGUGAAAUAGUCUUUAAAAUUUAACUCUACAUGUUUAAAGCAACUGGAAUUUCUAUUCCAGUUGGAAUUUCUAUUCCAAUGGAAUUUCCAUUCUAUGGAAUACUAGUCAGCAACAAAAAGGAACAUAUUAUUGAUACACACACCUUAAAUGAAUCUGCAGGAAAUUAUACUGAAUGGAUACAGUAUCACUUUCUCAACCCUACAUUUGGGCAUGGGUAUGAAAUCAGUAAAGACAAAAUUGACAAGUGUAUCACAGCUAAAGAAUUCAUUUAUAUGGCAGUUGCCAAGGCAGAAUAUUAAGGUAACCAGUAAGAGACACAAAUAGAUUAUUUACAAUGAUGGGCACUUAAUGUCAGCCUUCUAGAGAGACCCCAUGUGUCCACCUUCCAGGUAAUAGGACCUUUCUCUGUCUUCCCCAUCCCUUUCAAAGUUCCUUUCUCUCUCGUAGUUUAUCCUGAAGUCAAAGCAAGAGUUUUUCUUAUAGAUGCUCUGGAGUCCAUCAGGAUGCAGUCUAUACCUUGAACUGUCUUUUGGAUUAUCUGGUUCCAAAUUGGAAUCUCUCUUCGCUCAGAACUCCCUCUGUAUUGACUAUUAAUCACUUUUUGUUCUUUUGAGAUUGGUUGCUACCAUCGUGCUGUUUUGGGGGUUAGGGGGAGAAUUCUGUGCUCCUCAUUGCCACACUCGUCCACUGAGUUUAUCAAUGUAGAUGCAUCCUUUUAAUUCAUUGGAGCAUUGUUUGAAUUACCAAAUUUACACAGGAUACUAGAUAUGACCACUACAACAUGGAGAUAAUAAUGAAAUUUACCUUAUGGGAUUGUUGUCAGUAUAAAUGAUUAAGCAUUUAAUCAAAUGCUUAGUAAUAUAAAAGUAAGUGCUUAGAAUAAUAUAAUUACACAUAUAAUUCCAAUCGUGUACUCUGUAUAUUAUGCUGUAAUUAUCUGUAAUACCAUAAAUGUAAUAUAAGUAUUAGCUGUUAUUAUUAUCCACAGACCAAAGGAGAUUUUCAUCAACAAGUUAUUCUUUUGUUUGUAGCUAAAUCCUUGGCAUCCCAUGAAAAAAGUUAGCUUUUUCAAAAUUGCACUUCUUAGGCAUGCAUUCAGGCAUACCCCACAUUACUACUUGAGAUCAGGCUCUAAGCAAGUGUGGCCUACGUGGGAAUGAGUUCUCAAACUCUCAGGCCUUAUCUUCCCAUGAUCUGCCUCUUUCCAGGAUGAUUGAAAGUUAGAAUAUCCACCGACUUACAGGGAGACCUCAUCCCCUACCAGUUAGGAGUGUUUGUCUUCGGAGCCCUCAAUCUCACCAUAACACAAUAAUCCAGUAUCAUGAUUUCUAAAGUCUUGUUAUUAAUUCUUAACUGUGUAAAAGACCAACAGUCCAAUCCAGGUUUAACUUAACCCAGCAUUGCCUAGUUCUUUUGUACGUAUUUACCUUCAUUAUGAAGUGAAAAUUUAGGUGCACUAAACCUAGUUUCAGCUUCUGAAUGCUCAACAGUGGCUUGAAAAGAGCAUAUUUCCAUAAAAAUAAGUCCUAACAUUUUGCAGGCAUGUCACAGCUUAAGUUCAUACUUAAAAAACAAACAUUUCUCCAAAAAAAGUCCAAGUGAAACAACUCUGCCUACAAUGCAGACAGCCUUUGCAUUAUCUUACAGAGGGGUUUAGCUCCUUAAAAUCACUCUUCUCAAAUGACUUUAUUUCUGCAGUGGUCUUUUACUUUACAUUUGCAUAACUAAAUAGGUAAAUGGACCGUUUAAGUGAUUUUCCAAGAACAAAGGGAUGCAAAGAUGGGCUUAAAGAUAAAAGGGAAAGUAGAAGGGGAAAUUACUUAAAUCUUGGCUGAAUCUCCAGUGACCCGUUUAUUCUGACUUUUGGGUGUGUGAUGUGCUUCAUUAGUUGGUCAGUACCACUGAGUAAAAUGAACACUGAGUGAUUUCCUUCCUUCUUUGCUCAUUCAACAUUUACAUUUCACAAAGAGAGGGAUUAAUAAGAACAGUUAUGUGAUUAAUAUGAAGUGCUUCCACUGGGUAGAGUUUGUCCCAGAUCUUUCUUGCCUGUUCAGAAACUGUGUACUAGUGAUUUGAGCAGGGAAAAUUUAACACAAGGAAUCAUUAGGUAGGUAAGUAGUGAUUAAUGCUAGAAGGAAACUUGAAGGUCUAACAGAUGUAGCUACUGCUGGGAGCUGCCACCAGCCCGGGACUGAGGAAAAGUAAAGAGGGAAGAAAUUUAGACAUUUAGAGGAAGGCCCUACAUACUAGACAUUCAGACCUCUGAGAAGACAGUGUGGAUGCCAUAGAAACAUGCUGCCUAUCAUGGUGGUAACUGAGAAGCUAGAUGGAAAGCUGUCUGCCGGUGAACCCACUUCUGUAGGCUAGGGGGCAUUCACCACUGAAGUAGAGGGCUGUGGCCACUGUGGUAAUCACUGCCAGGAUUCCUUCCUGCUCAUCUGCUUGCCACCAUAUGGAGAACAGAACAGCAGAAAAAGAGUGAAUUGCUUCUUCCAGCCUUGCAGUGUCCCUCUAGCACCCUUAUUGGAAGAUCCCAGCAUAGAGCCUGCCAGCAAAGGAGAAAGGUAGUCUGCACAAUUGAGUUGUAGCAUCAAAAAACAGGGCAAAGAAAGGUGGGAGAUAUAAAGGAAGCUUUUUAAUAUUGAUGUGAUCUGGGUUAGGAAAAAAAAACCACAAGGUCUGUCUUCUUUCUACUUAAGGAGUUGGAAUUUACAGUAACCUCAGAGUUUUGAAAUGCCAGGCCAAGAAAUUAACAUAAAAGUGGUUUUGAUGCAGUGAUGCCCUUGAGAUUUCUUGCAAAGCAAGAACAUAUUUGGUCUGAGGGAGGGAUAUAACUUCCAUCUAGGUUACACAGGACUCCCAUGGAUAUAAAACCACACUGAAAAUGAACCUGCGAUCACAUAUUACAAACUACCAUGACAUAGGCAUGACACAGGGAUAGCAGAGGGGAAAAAAAUCCCAUGCAUUUUAUAGAAUAAAUGUAAUAAAGCAAGCAGAUAGAUACUCUAAAAUAAGUAUGUUUAAAAUAGUUAAUGUUAUAAAAAAGAAAACAAGGAAAUACAAGAGAAUAGUUAAUUAAAACAACUAAUAGAAAUGAAAAAUGAAGAUAUUAAAAUCAAACAGUAAGGAGAGAUUUCUGCUUUCAGUUAAGAUGUAGAAGUACAUGAAAGACAAAUGGUAACAACAAGAAAAACCUCAACAAAGUUAAAAUCAUAUUUUUUAAUGAGGUCAGCGAGGAAUGAAGAAUGAAAGAAAACCCUGAGGAACUGCUUUUCAAAGAGAAAUGAGGCAUUCAUAAAUGAACAGAAAGCCUCAGCAAUUUCCCACUUGGGAGUAGGCACCUGGUCUAAAUACAGGCAGAUGGAGAAUUAGCUUGUCAAAGAUGGAGAUGAGAAGAAACCAACCAAGAUUUUGACAGUAAUGUGGGCUUGUGGGAUGCACAGGAAUUUGGAAGAAGACUAUAGUAGAUUGAGUUUUCCAAAAAUGUCCUGAACAGUAUCUUCCAUCCUACAGAAUAUUUCCUACAAUGUGACAAUGACAUUCCUUCCACGGAGUGGUAGUGUUCAUGGUCCCUGCCUUGAAUCUGGUCAAGUUUGUGACAAUGGUGAAAAUAAUGAUAUGUGAAUUCUGAGGCUAAAUCAUAAAAGGUGUUAUAGCUUCUAGCUGGACCUCUCGCGAUGCAUGACUUUGCAACCCCAACUGCAAUGUAAGGAGUCUAAAGCUGCUGUGGUAUGAGGAAAGAUCAUGUGGAGAUGUUCUGGAUCAUCCCAAGCUGAGUUCGCAGCCAACAGUCGGGAUCAACCCACAAGCGUGUGUGUGAUUGGAGCCACCUCUAGAAGAUUCCUGCUCCCUGGAGGCAGGUUACUUCCAGCCUGAUUCACAUAAUCCCUGAACAUAAUAAAAUGAUCUUAUUUCAAA